RNAcentral lists this ribosomal RNA (468 nucleotides) under uncultured bacterium. RNAcentral's name for it is "partial 16S ribosomal RNA". It matches the Rfam family "Bacterial small subunit ribosomal RNA", at positions 28 to 507 of the family's 1533-position model. The record is from RNAcentral.
GACGAACGCUGGCGGCGUGCUUAACACAUGCAAGUCGAACGGAAAGGCCCUGCUUUUGUGGGGUGCUCGAGUGGCGAACGGGUGAGUAACACGUGAGUAACCUGCCCUUGACUUUGGGAUAACUUCAGGAAACUGGGGCUAAUACCGGAUAGGAGCUCCUGCUGCAUGGUGGGGGUUGGAAAGUUUCGGCGGUUGGGGAUGGACUCGCGGCUUAUCAGCUUGUUGGUGGGGUAGUGGCUUACCAAGGCUUUGACGGGUAGCCGGCCUGAGAGGGUGACCGGCCACAUUGGGACUGAGAUACGGCCCAGACUCAUACGGGAGGCAGCAGUGGGAAAUAUUGCACAAUGGGCGGAAGCCUAAUGCAGCAGCGCCGCGUGCGGGAUGACGGCCUUCGGGUUGUAAACCGCUUUCGCCUGUGACGAAGCGUGAGUGACGGUAAUGGGUAAAGAAGCACCGGCUAACUACGUG